This 380-nucleotide ribosomal RNA is filed under the name uncultured eukaryote. RNAcentral's name for it is "partial 18S ribosomal RNA". It matches the Rfam family "Eukaryotic small subunit ribosomal RNA", at positions 592 to 976 of the family's 1831-position model. The record is from RNAcentral.
CAAUAGCGUAUAUUAAAGUUGUUGCAGUUAAAAAGCUCGUAGUUGGAUUUGUGGCGUACGGUGUGUUCCGGGCACUUGUUGUCUGAGUAACCUGCUGUUGCCAUCCUUGGGUGGAACCUGUGUGGCAUUAGGUUGUCGUGCAGGGGAUGCCCAUCAUUUACUGUGAAAAAAUUAGAGUGUUCGAAGCAGGCUUAUGCCGUUGAAUAUAUUAGCAUGGAAUAAUGAGAUAGGACUUUUUUGCUAUUUUGUUGGUUUGCGCAAAGAGGUAAUGAUUAAUAGGGACAGUUGGGGGUAUUCGUAUUCCAUUGUCAGAGGUGAAAUUCUUGGAUUUUUGGAAGACGAACUACUGCGAAAGCAUUUACCAAGGAUGUUUUCAUUAA